Molecule: small nuclear RNA, 108 nt
Organism: Suncus etruscus (white-toothed pygmy shrew)
Lineage: Eukaryota; Metazoa; Chordata; Mammalia; Eulipotyphla; Soricidae
Source: RefSeq, a predicted model, not a curated record
GUGCUCGCUUUGGCAGCACAUAUACUAAAACUGAAACGAUACAGAGAAGAUUAGCAAUGGCCCCUGCAUAAGGAAGACAUGCAAAUUCGUGAAGGAUUCCAUAUUUAA